Molecule: unclassified non-coding RNA, 348 nt
Filed under: Bombus terrestris (buff-tailed bumblebee)
Lineage: Eukaryota; Metazoa; Arthropoda; Insecta; Hymenoptera; Apidae
Description: misc RNA ENSBTSG00005027937.1
Source: RNAcentral
CUCGAGCCGAGAGAAGACAAAUCAAAGGGAAAUCUAAUCUAUCGUCGAAAUUGCAUUAGUUGUCCGUGGCGGUUGUUAUAGAUAUGUCUUGCGUAACACUGUAUCGCAGACACUCUUUCAUAAGAUGACAUAUUUGUGAUGUUUCGAAUUUCAAACGUAUCGAUGACGACGUUUUGUGAACAUUGCAAAAUAAAUUUUGAACGAUUGAGGCCUGAAGCAUCAGAAAUCACAAAAAAUGACAUACCAUUAACUGGGAACAAGAACAUGGCAAUUUCCAUCUUUUUAUUAUUUAUAUUACUUUCACUUCCGGAUUUGUACUAUUCAUAUAAAUAUUCGUUUAAAUAUCUG